RNAcentral lists this non-coding RNA (18 nucleotides) under Rattus norvegicus (Norway rat). Lineage: Eukaryota; Metazoa; Chordata; Mammalia; Rodentia; Muridae. The record is from RNAcentral.
GUUCAAGGUCACAUAGUG